This 1067-nucleotide long non-coding RNA is filed under the name Gouania willdenowi (blunt-snouted clingfish). RNAcentral describes it as "lncRNA (ENSGWIG00000008454.1)". The record is from RNAcentral. Lineage: Eukaryota; Metazoa; Chordata; Actinopteri; Blenniiformes; Gobiesocidae.
CAAUGUAAGUAAAACCUCUCAUUUACAGAGAAACACACUUCACACGUUUAAUGUAAAAAAUGACAUUACUUUAUCAUAAUGCCUGUAAAAUGUUGGACUUGACCACCAGAAUUCACUGAUUGAGAACAAGGAAGAUGGAAGACUACCAUCAUCUACCAGUGGAGGAGGAGGAGGAGAAAAAUGCGGGAGCACCAGCAUCCAAAAGUGUCCCAUAAUCAGCCCCAGGAGGAGAUAUCAGCAGAGGAAAGAAAGACUAAUAACCAAAACAAUGUAAGUAUAACCUUUUAUUUACACAGAAAGACAAUGAACUUUUUUUUAUUGUAAAAAUGUUGUCAUUGGUAAAAAAAUAAAUAAAUGAGAAAUAGAUGUUUGUUUACAGUAAAACCUGUAAAUUGUCCACCACAGUGUCCCACAAUCAGCCACAGGAGGAGACGCCAGCAGAGGAAAGAAACAAUAUUAACCAAAACAAUAGGAACGCCAUCAUCCACUGAUGGAGGAGAAGAAAGAUGGAGGACGGGAGCACCAGCAUCUACCAAUGGAGGAGAAUAAAUAAUUUUAUUAACCAAAACAAUAAUCCACUGAUAGAGAACAAGGAAGAUGGAAGACUACCAUCAUCUACCAAUGGAGGAGCAGGAGAAAAAUGGGGGAGCACCAGCAUCCAAAAGUGUCCCAUAAUCAGCCACAGGAGGAGAUAUCAGCAGAGGAAAGAAACAAUAUUAACCAAAACAAUCAUCCACUGAUGGAGGAGAAGAAAGAUGGAGGACGGGAGCACACAAACAUCUGCACAAGACGGAGAUGAAGAAAGACUUCUAUCAAUCAACCAAAAACAAUGUAAGUAAAGCCUCUUGUUUGAACACACAUUUAAUAUAAAAAUAGAUGUUAAUUACUGUACUAGUGUCUGUAAAAUGUCUUGUGUGUGAUUACAGAUUCACUUCAGAGGAGAAUCAGACUGUUCCAGAUGUUCAUCACCACAGCACAGAAUGAGACAGCAGUAGUAGUAGUAGUGUUUACUCUGACUGCUUUCAUUUCAACUAUAAAUAAAUAAAAAAUAAUAUCUUAAGAAAUCA